CCUACGGGCGGCAGCAGUGGGGAAUAUUGGGCAAUGGACGCAAGUCUGACCCAGCAACGCCGCGUGAAGGAAGAAGGCUUUCGGGUUGUAAACUUCUUUUAAGGGGGAAGAGCAGAAGACGGUACCCCUUGAAUAAGCAUCGGCUAACUCCGUGCCAGCAGCCGCGGUAAUACGGAGGAUGCGAGCGUUAUCCGGAUUUAUUGGGUUUAAAGGGUGCGUAGGCGGGUUAUCAAGUCAGCGGUAAAAUCGUGGAGCUCAACUCCAUCCAGCCGUUGAAACUGAUGAUCUUGAGUGGGCGAGAAGUAUGCGGAAUGCGUGGUGUAGCGGUGAAAUGCAUAGAUAUCACGCAGAACUCCGAUUGCGAAGGCAGCAUACCGGCGCCCGACUGACGCUGAAGCACGAAAGCGUGGGUAUCGAACAGGAUUAGAUACCCUAGUAGUC
This 441-nucleotide ribosomal RNA is filed under the name uncultured bacterium. RNAcentral's name for it is "partial 16S ribosomal RNA". It matches the Rfam family "Bacterial small subunit ribosomal RNA", at positions 338 to 795 of the family's 1533-position model. The record is from RNAcentral.